This 274-nucleotide ribosomal RNA is filed under the name uncultured bacterium. RNAcentral's name for it is "partial 16S ribosomal RNA". It matches the Rfam family "Bacterial small subunit ribosomal RNA", at positions 523 to 796 of the family's 1533-position model. The record is from RNAcentral.
AUACGGAGGGUGCAAGCGUUAUCCGGAAUCAUUGGGUUUAAAGGGUCCGCAGGCGGAUUAAUAAGUCAGUGGUGAAAUCCUCUCGCUCAACGAGAGAACUGCCAUUGAAACUGUUAGUCUUGAAUUCGGUCGAAGUAGGCGGAAUGUGUCAUGUAGCGGUGAAAUGCAUAGAUAUGACACAGAACACCGAUAGCGAAGGCAGCUUACUAGACCUGGAUUGACGCUCAUGGACGGAAGCGUGGGGAGCGAACAGGAUUAGAAACCCCAGUAGUCC